GACGAACGCUGGCGCCGCGCUUAGCACAUGCAAGUCGAGCGAGAACCAGUGCUUCGGCCCUGGGGACAGAGGCGAACGGGUGAGUAACACGUGGGUAUCUGCCCUCGGCACCGGAAUAGCCCGGGGAAACCCGGAUUACUGCCGGACGGCCCCUUCACCUCGCGAGGUCUAGGGAAACGGUAGCUGCGGCCUCUGGCCGGGGAUGAGCCCGCGGCGGAUUAGCUUGUUGGCGGGGUAACGGCCCACCAAGGCGACGAGCCGUAGCUGGUCUGGGAGGACGAUCAGCCACACUGGGACUGAGACACGGCCCAGACUCCUACGGGAGGCAGCAGUGGGGAAUCUUGUGCAAUGGGCGAAAGCCUGACGCAGCGACGCCGCGUGAGGGAAGAAGGCCUUCGGGUUGUAAGCCUCUUUCAGGAGGGAAGAAGCUACUCGGGUGAAUAGCCCAGAGGGUGACGGUACCUCCAGAAGAAGCCCCGGCUAACUACGUGCCAGCCGCCGCCGUAA
RNAcentral lists this ribosomal RNA (507 nucleotides) under uncultured bacterium. RNAcentral describes it as "partial 16S ribosomal RNA". It matches the Rfam family "Bacterial small subunit ribosomal RNA", at positions 28 to 523 of the family's 1533-position model. The record is from RNAcentral.